AUGUCUGCUGUCGAGCUUGACAUUAGAGAGGAGAUAGAGGAGGCGGCUAUCAACCUCAACGUCACUAUGUCACAGGGAUCAUUUAGCACACAGCCUCAGCCAAAGAGGGUGGUGAGGCCUGGGAAAUAUGCAAGGUCUCCCUUUGUAAUGGGCAUGUGGAUUAUCAGCACCAACCCAAAAUACAUGGACAUCAGUGGGGAGCGGCUCCGUGAGAUGCUACGCGAUGGUGGUGAGGUGGAUAGUGUGCCGAUGACAUUGGUGAUGAGAAGGUACCAACAGAUGGAUGUGGUCUUUGCUGCUGCAAAAGGGGAAGGAUGUUAGCGACAUUGGCUGGAGCCAGAUUUUGUGAACCAUGUUAGCAGAGGAGACAACAUUUCAAAGCUGAGGUACAUCAAGGACAUGUUCGUGGGGCCGCAUAUCACUUACGAGGUUCACAAGUGCACCGAGGUGACCUUUAAAAAGACAAAAGUGAUUUAA
RNAcentral lists this ribosomal RNA (477 nucleotides) under Triticum aestivum (bread wheat). Its description in RNAcentral is "partial small subunit ribosomal RNA". Lineage: Eukaryota; Viridiplantae; Streptophyta; Magnoliopsida; Poales; Poaceae. The record is from RNAcentral.